This 432-nucleotide ribosomal RNA is filed under the name uncultured bacterium. RNAcentral's name for it is "partial 16S ribosomal RNA". It matches the Rfam family "Bacterial small subunit ribosomal RNA", at positions 29 to 507 of the family's 1533-position model. The record is from RNAcentral.
ACGAACGCUGGCGGCAUGCCUAACACAUGCAAGUCGAACGAGACCUUCGGGUCUAGUGGCGCACGGGUGCGUAACGCGUGGGAACCUGCCCUUAGGUUCGGAAUAACUCCCCGAAAGGGGUGCUAAUACCGGAUAAUGUCUUCGGACCAAAGAUUUAUCGCCUUUGGAUGGGCCCGCGUUGGAUUAGCUAGUUGGUAGGGUAAAAGCCUACCAAGGCGACGAUCCAUAGCUGGUCUGAGAGGAUGAUCAGCCACACUGGGACUGAGACACAGCCCAGACUCCUACGGGAGGCAGCAGUGGGGAAUAUUGGACAAUGGGCGAAAGCCUGAUCCAGCAAUGCCGCGUGAGUGAUGAAGGCCUUAGGGUUGUAAAGCUCUUUUACCCGGGAUGAUAAUGACAGUACCGGGAGAAUAAGCUCCGGCUAACUCCGUG